GAUGAACGCUGGCGGCGUGCCUAAUACAUGCAAGUCGAGCGAACAGACGAGGAGCUUGCUCCUCUGACGCUAGCGGCGGACGGGUGAGUAACACGUGGAUAACCUACCUAUAAGACUGGGAUAACUUCGGGAAACCGGAUCUAAUACCGCAUAAUAUAUUGAACCGCAUGGUUCAAUAGAGAAAGACGGCUUUGCUGUCACUUAUAGAUGGAUCCACGCCGCAUUAGCUAGUUGGUAAGGUAACGGCUUACCAAGGCAACGAUGCGUAGCCGACCUGAGAGGAUGAUCGGCCACACUGGAACUGAGACACGGUCCAGACUCCUACGGGAGGCAGCAGUAGGGAAUCUUCCGCAAUGGGCGAAAGCCUGACGGAGCAACGCCGCGUGAGUGAAGAAGGUCUUCGGAUCGUAAAACUCUGUUAUUAGGGAAGAAAAACUGUGUGAGAAACUCUGGACGUCUUGACGGUACCUAAUCAGAAAGCCACGGCUAACUUCGUG
This 497-nucleotide ribosomal RNA is filed under the name uncultured bacterium. RNAcentral describes it as "partial 16S ribosomal RNA". It matches the Rfam family "Bacterial small subunit ribosomal RNA", at positions 28 to 507 of the family's 1533-position model. The record is from RNAcentral.